This 568-nucleotide ribosomal RNA is filed under the name uncultured bacterium. RNAcentral describes it as "bacterial LSU rRNA". It matches the Rfam family "Bacterial large subunit ribosomal RNA", at positions 515 to 1082 of the family's 2925-position model. The record is from RNAcentral.
AGAAAAGCACCCCGAGAGGGAGUGAAAUAGAACCUGAAACCGUGUGCCUACAAGCACUGAGAGCACGACGCCGUAAGGCCGUGUGAUCGGGUACCUUUUGCAUAAUGGCCCUACGAGUUACGUUCGUGGCGAGGUUAAGCCGUAAGGUGGAGCCGGAGGGAAACCAAGUCCGAAUAGGGCGAAAGUCGCGGGGCGUAGACCCGAAGCCCGACGAUCUAUCCAUGGCCAGGUUGAAACGCGGGUAAUACCGCGCGGAGGACCGAACCCACCUUAGUUGAAAAUAAGGGGGAUGAGCUGUGGAUCGGAGUGAAAGGCUAAUCAAGUCGGGGAAUAGCUGGUUCUCCUCGAAAUAUAUUGAGGUAUAGCCUCGGAUGAAUACCCGCGGGGGUAGAGCACUGAAUGGGCUAGGGGACCUACCAGUCUACCAAACCCAAUCAAACUCCGAAUACCGCGAAGUAGUGUCCGGGAGUCAGGCAGCGGGAGAUAAGUUCCGUUGCCGAGAGGGAAAGAGCCCAGACCGUCAGCUAAGGUCCCAAAGUCUGUGCUUAGUGUCAAAGGAUGUGGAGGC